This 1390-nucleotide ribosomal RNA is filed under the name uncultured Lactobacillus sp. RNAcentral's name for it is "bacterial SSU rRNA". It matches the Rfam family "Bacterial small subunit ribosomal RNA", at positions 27 to 1383 of the family's 1533-position model. The record is from RNAcentral. Lineage: Bacteria; Bacillati; Bacillota; Bacilli; Lactobacillales; Lactobacillaceae.
GGACGAACGCUGGCGGCGUGCCUAAUACAUGCAAGUCGAACGAACUCUGGUAUUGAUUGGUGCUUGCAUCAUGAUUUACAUUUGAGUGAGUGGCGAACUGGUGAGUAACACGUGGGAAACCUGCCCAGAAGCGGGGGAUAACACCUGGAAACAGAUGCUAAUACCGCAUAACAACUUGGACCGCAUGGUCCGAGUUUGAAAGAUGGCUUCGGCUAUCACUUUUGGAUGGUCCCGCGGCGUAUUAGCUAGAUGGUGGGGUAACGGCUCACCAUGGCAAUGAUACGUAGCCGACCUGAGAGGGUAAUCGGCCACAUUGGGACUGAGACACGGCCCAAACUCCUACGGGAGGCAGCAGUAGGGAAUCUUCCACAAUGGACGAAAGUCUGAUGGAGCAACGCCGCGUGAGUGAAGAAGGGUUUCGGCUCGUAAAACUCUGUUGUUAAAGAAGAACAUAUCUGAGAGUAACUGUUCAGGUAUUGACGGUAUUUAACCAGAAAGCCACGGCUAACUACGUGCCAGCAGCCGCGGUAAUACGUAGGUGGCAAGCGUUGUCCGGAUUUAUUGGGCGUAAAGCGAGCGCAGGCGGUUUUUUAAGUCUGAUGUGAAAGCCUUCGGCUCAACCGAAGAAGUGCAUCGGAAACUGGGAAACUUGAGUGCAGAAGAGGACAGUGGAACUCCAUGUGUAGCGGUGAAAUGCGUAGAUAUAUGGAAGACACCAGUGGCGAAGGGCGGCUGUCUGGUCUGUAACUGACGCUGAGGCUCGAAAGUAUGGGUAGCAAACAGGAUUAGAUACCCUGGUAGUCCAUACCGUAAACGAUGAAUGCUAAGUGUUGGAGGGUUUCCGCCCUUCAGUGCUGCAGCUAACGCAUUAAGCAUUCCGCCUGGGGAGUACGGCCGCAAGGCUGAAACUCAAAGGAAUUGACGGGGGCCCGCACAAGCGGUGGAGCAUGUGGUUUAAUUCGAAGCUACGCGAAGAACCUUACCAGGUCUUGACAUACUAUGCAAAUCUAAGAGAUUAGACGUUCCCUUCGGGGACAUGGAUACAGGUGGUGCAUGGUUGUCGUCAGCUCGUGUCGUGAGAUGUUGGGUUAAGUCCCGCAACGAGCGCAACCCUUAUUAUCAGUUGCCAGCAUUAAGUUGGGCACUCUGGUGAGACUGCCGGUGACAAACCGGAGGAAGGUGGGGAUGACGUCAAAUCAUCAUGCCCCUUAUGACCUGGGCUACACACGUGCUACAAUGGAUGGUACAACGAGUUGCGAACUCGCGAGAGUAAGCUAAUCUCUUAAAGCCAUUCUCAGUUCGGAUUGUAGGCUGCAACUCGCCUACAUGAAGUCGGAAUCGCUAGUAAUCGCGGAUCAGCAUGCCGCGGUGAAUACGUUCCCGGGCCUUG